RNAcentral lists this ribosomal RNA (498 nucleotides) under uncultured bacterium. RNAcentral describes it as "partial 16S ribosomal RNA". It matches the Rfam family "Bacterial small subunit ribosomal RNA", at positions 30 to 523 of the family's 1533-position model. The record is from RNAcentral.
AUUGAACGCUGGCGGCAUGCCUUACACAUGCAAGUCGAACGGUAACAGGUCUUCGGAUGCUGACGAGUGGCUAACGGGUGAGUAAUACAUCGGAACGUGCCUAGUAGUGGGGGAUAACUACUUGAAAGAGUGGCUAAUACCGCAUGAGAUCUAAGGAUGAUAGCAGGGGAUUGUAUGGACUUGUGCUAAUAGAGCGGCGGAUGGCAGAUUAGGUAGUUGGUGGGAUGAAAGCUUACCAAGGCGACGAUCUGUAGAUGGUCUGAGAGGACGAUCAGCGAAACUGGGACUGAGAGACGGCCCAGACUCCUAAGGGAGGCAGCAGUGGGGAAUUUUGGACAAUGGGCGCAAGCCUGAUCCAGCAAUGCCGCGUGCAGGAUGAAGGCCUUCGGGUUGUAAACUGCUUUUGUACGGAACGAGAAGCCCUGGGUUAAUACCCUGGGGUCAUGACGGUACCGUAAGAAUAAGCACCGGCUAACUACGUGCCAGCCGCCGCGGUAA